RNAcentral lists this ribosomal RNA (324 nucleotides) under uncultured eukaryote. Its description in RNAcentral is "partial 18S ribosomal RNA". It matches the Rfam family "Eukaryotic small subunit ribosomal RNA", at positions 1470 to 1796 of the family's 1831-position model. The record is from RNAcentral.
CCCUUAGAUGUCCUGGGCUGCACGCGCGCUACACUGAUGUGUCCAGUAAGCACCUAACCUCUUCCGAAAGGAACGGGUAACCUUUGCAAAGCACAUAGUGAUGGGGAUAGAUUAUUGCAAUUAUUAGUCUUGAACGAGGAAUUCCUAGUAAGCACAAGUCAUCAGCUUGUGUUGAUUACGUCCCUGCCCUUUGUACACACCGCCCGUCGCUCCUACCGAUUGAAUGUUCCGGUGAGCUCUUCGGACUGCGCGGUCUGCAGUUUCUGCGUUCCGUGCGGAAAGUUGCGCAAACCUUAACAUUUAGAGGAAGGAGAAGUCGUAACA